This 112-nucleotide small nucleolar RNA is filed under the name Carlito syrichta (Philippine tarsier). Its description in RNAcentral is "Small nucleolar RNA SNORA31 (ENSTSYG00000025073.2)". Lineage: Eukaryota; Metazoa; Chordata; Mammalia; Primates; Tarsiidae. The record is from RNAcentral.
UUGCAAAUAAGAAAAAGAAAAAUUCUGCUGAACUUUCUACUACAGGUGCAAGAAAAAAGUGUCUGCAUGCUUUCUGUCUGUCGUGGCAGCCAAGACUGAGAAGAAUAUAUGG